Molecule: ribosomal RNA, 497 nt
Filed under: uncultured bacterium
Lineage: Bacteria
Description: partial 16S ribosomal RNA
Rfam family: Bacterial small subunit ribosomal RNA
Source: RNAcentral
GAUGAACGCUGGCGGCGUGCCUAAUACAUGCAAGUCGAGCGAACGGACGAGAAGCUUGCUUCUCUGAUGUUAGCGGCGGACGGGUGAGUAACACGUGGAUAACCUACCUAUAAGACUGGGAUAACUUCGGGAAACCGGAGCUAAUACCGGAUAAUAUUUUGAACCGCAUGGUUCAAAAGUUAAAGACGGUCUUGCUGUCACUUAUAGAUGGAUCCGCGCUGCAUUAGCUAGUUGGUAAGGUAACGGCUUACCAAGGCAACGAUGCAUAGCCGACCUGAGAGGGUGAUCGGCCACACUGGAACUGGGACACGGUCCAGACUCCUACGGGAGGCCGCAGUAGGGAAUCUUCCGCAAUGGGCGAAAGCCUGACGGAGCAACGCCGCGUGAGUGAUGAAGGUCUUCGGAUCGUAAAACUCUGUUAUGAGGGAAGAACAUAUGUGUAAGUAACUGUGCACAUCUUGACGGUACCUAAUCAGAAAGACACGGCUAACUACGUG